CGCACAUUGCGCCCUUUGGUAUUCCGAAGGGCAUGCCUGUUCGAGCGUCAUUAUCACCUCUCAAGCCCGGCUUGCUGUUGGACUUUGAAGAUCUCUUUGGCUAGAGAUCGGUCCCAAAGAUAAUGACGGUGUCUUCGAGGACCCCAGUACAUUGAGCUAUACUUUAGCACGUACGAGGCGGAAGUCGAGACCCGGUCUUACCCAGUUUAUUUUACUCAAGGUUGACCUCGGAUCAGGUAGGGAUACCCGCUGAACUUAA
Molecule: unclassified non-coding RNA, 259 nt
Filed under: Capronia sp.
Lineage: Eukaryota; Fungi; Ascomycota; Eurotiomycetes; Chaetothyriales; Herpotrichiellaceae
Description: partial contains 5.8S ribosomal RNA, internal transcribed spacer 2, and large subunit ribosomal RNA
Source: RNAcentral